This 253-nucleotide ribosomal RNA is filed under the name uncultured bacterium. RNAcentral describes it as "partial 16S ribosomal RNA". It matches the Rfam family "Bacterial small subunit ribosomal RNA", at positions 524 to 776 of the family's 1533-position model. The record is from RNAcentral.
UACAGAGGUCUCAAGCGUUGUUCGGAUUCAUUGGGCGUAAAGGGUGCGUAGGCGGCGCGGUAAGUCGGGUGUGAAAUCUCGGAGCUUAACUCCGAAACUGCAUUCGAUACUGCCGUGCUUGAGGACUGGAGAGGAGACUGGAAUUUACGGUGUAGCGGUGAAAUGCGUAGAUAUCUGGAGGAACACCAAUGGCGAAGGCAGCUCGCUGGGACGUGACUGACGCUGAGACGCGAAAGCGUGGGGAGCAAACAGG